CAGCCACUGCUCUCCCUUUCUGUGCCUUUCUAAAAGGUUAGACUCUAACCUUGUUUAAAGUGCUUCACCAUGAAACCUGAUUAAAAACCUAAUAAAAUUAAAAAUGGGGUCAUGUCCAGAGAGAGAACUGUUUAGAAACCAGAGGAAGCGCUACUUAAUUUUGUUAAGCUGAUUAAUUCAUUCGCGGCCCUGCAGAGGUCAGGGGCUCGGAGACCAAGACUGCCCCUGAGAACCGGACGCUGCCAUGUGGGGGGCCCAGCACUGGGCCUGCCUCCCAGUUCUCCGCCCAGGCCUGGUCCACGUACCUGCCCAGCAUGGCUGCAUCUCCAAAAUGUGUCCUUCUGCACAGAAAAUAGGCACUUAUCCUCCAGAACACGCCAGACCCUCCGUGUAGGUAGCCUUGAUGCCAACUUGCCAGACAAAAACUCAAGCACCUGUCCCCACUUAUCUGAUUUGGUGAUUCAUGCUAUUUGAAGUGCCAAAUUGAGAAUCUUUACAAACCCUUUACAAUUUUAGCUCGGGGCCCUACCUUCACGCUAACCACACUCCAAAUGAGAGGGUUGCAGGGAGCCUGUCAGAGCAGACACUUUGUCACCCACGAUGUGUCCUCAGGUCAGCACUGCCAGGGAAAGCCCAGUUUGGAAUGGAGGUUUCCUGAAUGCUUACAGGUACACCCCACUUUUCAUAAGUUCAGGUUACACUAGUUUGCCUUCACGGAAGACCCACAUCAGUAUGGGCUGUCACUAAUCGAGAAAAAUCAAAAGGGGUUUCUUUUUGCAAGAAAAAGAGAGAGCGUCCUACCUUGAGCUUUGCAUGUGUCUUUUUAAAGUCACUUAUGCUUGAGCGGUGGCACCUCCCCACCCCGAAGUUGCUCUGCACAGCCAUGUCCCUGUCACUGUAGUUUUAGGCGUUAUUUGGGGGUCUGAUAAUUGCUACCAUUUCAGCUGAGGAAGCUCUCACAGGAACACAGCAAAGAGCACAAGAAACCUGUAGAGCAAUAGCUCUUAAAGUCUAGGCCCUGUACCAGCCACAUCACCUGGGAAUCCUCCACUCCCCCAGUCCAUGCUGGAUCAGAAAUUUGGGAUAAGACCUGACAAUCUGCUUUAAAAAAAAAAAAAGCCUCUAGGGAGUUGGAAGUGCCCCCAGUGGAGAACUGAGGCCAGUUCCAAAGAAGUAAAUCCCUCCGUGUUCUGGGUUGACAGCCUCACCCUGCCCUUCUUCACCUGAACUGACAAGCCCAGAAGGAAGGUCUGUCUCUUUGUCCCUCACCACAGGCCACCGCGUAAGUGAUCUGCCACCUAUUUAAAGGCUCUGAUUUGUAUUCAUUGCUGAUGGAGCUGUGUUCGUGUAAGGAACUCCUUUUCUUAAAAUGCAGGCUGGGGUGUGCAGCCAUGUGCUGGAGCAAUCCAGGGGCCUUUCCUGGGCCACAGGAGAGCGAGCACGCAGCCCAGGCACCGUCUCAGCAGUUAGAAGCCUCUUGUGAUUGGCAGCUAACUUGGGGACGCCCUGCCUCUAAGACAACACACUGAAGUGUUUUGUUACUCUUGUAUCUUGCAGUAUGCUUGCAUUUUUGAUGGCAGGGAGAGAGGUGGGCAUUCUUGUUUGAUUUUGCAUGUCAUUGCACAUUGCAGUAGGCCCCCAAAAGCCUUCACAUGCUCCUUGACCACCACCAAGACCACUGUCAGCACCCCACACCUGUCUCAUAGUAGGUACUGGCCACUGUUAAGACAGUACGGUGAUGUGAGGGUUUCUAUUCAGAAGCCCCCACACACACACCUCGACUACAUCUCACCUACUACAGUGAGACUGGGGAAAGUAUGCUCUCACUUUGCCAAAAUUCCAGGAAGAGUCCACAGGCCUCCCAGACAGAGCCAAAGGCAAAGCUUUCAUUCACCAUGUUGUUGAUUUUUGAUGGAAUUUGAAAAAGGCAAUAAAAAUCUGUUCCACCAUACCCUCUGUCCCCUAAAAAAAAAAAAAAGCCCAAAGCAUUUCACAGGGCCAAAAAGAGUUUGAAGUGACUAUUUUGAAAGGCACUGGAAAAGUGGAUAAAAAUAAGCAUAAAAAUAAUGCUGAAUUCCAGCUGCCUGGAGUACUGGUUCCUCUCGGGGGACUGAGGUCACCAGCCUGAUUUCCAAGUGGCAGGAGACCCAAGACUGAGGAAUCUGGGGUCCAGGGCAGGGGCCCUGCCAUCUGCCUUGGAAAGACAGGUGCCCAGGCCUUGUCGCAUCAUGAUGUCCUGUUUUACUGAGAUGCAGAGACUCUGGAAGGGCGAGCUAGCCUGUCCCGCUAUGGUCUUCCUGCUCCAGAACAGAGACGGGGCCCCCACAACCUUGUUGGCCUGUGCCAUCUCGUUUAGGCAAAGAGCAGCCUGGAAGGGAAGCAGCGUCCUCAUUCCCAUUUUCAGGUGAGGGACGGGCUUGGAGAGGUCAAGAACCUUUCCCUUAACCCCAGACCCCUUAGUCUCGGGGUCUCCCUGCCUCUGUCCUUCUGCCACCUGGAAAUCAGGCUGGUGACCUCAGUCCCCCAAGAGGAACCAGUAUUCCAGGCAGCUGGAGGAUAUGUCAGCACUAGGUUUUACUGUUUAUUUGUAUCCAUUUUUCCAAUGCCCUUUAAAGCAGUCACUCCAGAAAGGUCACAUAGCUGCUGAAGGCACUGCCAGGCCCUGACCUCUGCUUCCACCCCUGCUCUGUACCUUCCUCCUCCUAGGCCACCUGCCUUCAAACCUUCUACACAGCUUCAAUUCGAAACACUGGCGUUUGGGCAAGAAAGCUUUGCAAGUGCCAAAAAAGCAGCCCUGCCCUCCCGGAGUUAAUAGGCGAGGCUGUUCCCUGGGGGCCGACUCAAAGGCAGAGUCACAGCCGCAUGUAUAAUUGACUCCAGGUCCGAAACUCAGUUAAUUCUCUUCUAUCUUUGGCUUUGCUGUUUCUUUUUGUACCUUGCCUAGAGGAAUGACCAGCAACCUUUAUAGACAGGAAACAAAUAGCAGGAAGAGAAACCACUGUUCAAAGAACCAUCCUCUCGAAAAUCCAAAGGAUACAGACAUGCAGAACCGAAGGUCCCUUAGAAUCCUGUCCCCAGAGGAAGCUGAAAGGUCAAGUCCAGACCUGUCAUUACACAGACAAUAAAGGCCAGAGGUGAGGGCUCGCACGAGAGAAGAAUGCCCUCCAUGAGCUCGUGGUCACAGGAGGGCUCCUGCUGCUCGAGACAUCUCCUCCACACUCCGAGAAGAAGGGGAGCAGAGGGACCAACUUCCCAGAAACUUCCGCCUCCGCUCCACUUACAACAAUCACUCGGUGCCCUGGCAGUGGAGGAACUGAUAAAAGGACAGCACUUUUGACACCUGACCAGCUCCAGUCAAAUCCAGCCCUUGGAACAUCCCACUCAAGGAUCAAAUUCCAGGGAUCUGGUCUCAUUGCCCCAGGAGGUGGUGAGGUGCUUGGGGAAGCAACUGUGUGUUCGCUGAUGGCCAGAUGUGUCCAUUGCCUCCAAGGCAAGGUCAAGGCACCAUCUUCUGAAGGUGAAUGGAGCAGCCAGAGGGAACGAAGUUCAAUGGACAUGAACAGGAGAAACACCCGCACUGCCUUAAAGUGUGCCAAGAAUUCAAAGCAUGAUGUCUAGCAUGUACUCACCUGUUUACUCCUGCCUAAGCUGUCAGGAAAAGGCAGAGUGUCCCUUCACAAGCCCCCAGGGGAUAUAGCCACAGUCCUACAUCCCAAAACCCCACUGGUGCCAACACCUUGUCUCAAAGACUGGAUGAGAUCUGGCUGGCCCAGGAGUCUGGGGAGAACCCACAUGUGGCACAGCCCUGGUCUGCCAUGGUCUGGCACUACCCUCUGCCCAGUCUUUAUGUAACUGCACAAUAAAUUUAGUGUUUUGAA
Molecule: long non-coding RNA, 3878 nt
Organism: Condylura cristata (star-nosed mole)
Lineage: Eukaryota; Metazoa; Chordata; Mammalia; Eulipotyphla; Talpidae
Exons: 5
Source: RefSeq, a predicted model, not a curated record